UACGUAGGGGCCUAGCGUUGUCCGGAAUUAUUGGGCGUAAAGAGCUCGUAGACGGUUCGGCAAGUCGGAUGUGAAAUCUCCACGCUUAACGUGGAGGGGCCAUUCGAAACUGCUGUGACUCGAGUCCGGUAGGGGAGUGUGGAAUUCCCGGUGUAGCGGUGAAAUGCGCAGAUAUCGGGAGGAACACCAGUAGCGAAGGCGGCACUCUGGGCCGGUACUGGACGCUGAGGAGCGAAAGCGUGGGGAGCGAACAGG
RNAcentral lists this ribosomal RNA (255 nucleotides) under uncultured bacterium. Its description in RNAcentral is "partial 16S ribosomal RNA". It matches the Rfam family "Bacterial small subunit ribosomal RNA", at positions 524 to 776 of the family's 1533-position model. The record is from RNAcentral.